UUUCUGUGAAAAAGAAACAGAAAAAACUUGCUAAGACAAGAUGGUCUUAUACAAGGGACAAAUGUUGGAGAUCACCAGAAUUUCCUUUCCCUGUGCCAAAUGCCUAAAAAGUUGGAAAAUUAGAUGCAGGCCAUGUUAAGUGCCUCAGGCAGAUGGAGCCUCUGGGAGAAGGAGCGAGUGACAUAAGAUUUUGAAACUUCCUGACAUUGGAAAACUUUGUUCAGUAACAGCUGUUUUGACACUGUGGAACUAUGCAGAUUUUCAAAAAUGCACAGCUGACACCAAGUGACCAUGCCUUGUCAAAUUGCCAUAACCACACAGCAGAGAACCGCCUGACUAAAAGAGCACAGCCAUAUAAUACCAAUAAUACAUACGUGUGGAAAAAUGGGUUUCAUGGCUAAGGAUUUGCAGUAUUCCUGCUUAUUACACCACGGAGGCUCCCGGAUCAAAAGAAGUGGGAUCAAAUACAAUGCAAGGAGUCUUGUGUCACACUACAUG
This is a long non-coding RNA of Aquila chrysaetos chrysaetos, 498 nucleotides long. RefSeq lists it as uncharacterized. The record is from RefSeq and is a predicted model, not a curated record. NCBI's taxonomy places the organism in Eukaryota, Metazoa, Chordata, Aves, Accipitriformes, Accipitridae. The transcript has 3 exons.